AAAGGCAUUAAUAAAUCCAUGUCAAUUAUAUACUUAUAAAAAGGAGAAUUUGAAUAUAAGUAAGUAAUCUAAAUAUGACUUAAUAAAGCUGAAACUGUGAUAGCCUUGAGGGAAACUGGGAUUAGAUACCCCAUUAUUCUUGGUUGUAAACUAAUAAUAUUUACCAGAGUACUAUGAAUCAAAAAAUUUGAAACUCAAAGGGCUUGGCGGUGUUUUAGACCCCUCAGGGGAACCUGUCUCAUAAUCGACAAUCCACGUCAGACCUGACCUCCUUUUGCAUCUCAGUUUGUAUACCGUCGUCGUCAGGUAACUUCCAAAAAACUAGAAGUUAGCGAUUAGAAUAGUAAUUUAAAUUUAAACGUCAGAUCAAGGUGCAGCCAAUAGAGAGGUGAGGAUGGGUUACAAUUAUCUAAAUUAUAAUUACGAAUAUUAAAAUGAAAUUUUUAAGUGAAGGAGGACUUGAAAGUAAAAUAGGAUAUAAGAAUUGUUUGAAUACGGCUCUGAAACGUGUACAAACCGCCCGUCGCUCUCGUUGAAAAAUGAGAUAAGUCGUAACAUAGCAGGGGUAAUGGAAAUUGCCCCUAGAUG
Molecule: ribosomal RNA, 588 nt
Filed under: Oliva spicata
Lineage: Eukaryota; Metazoa; Mollusca; Gastropoda; Neogastropoda; Olividae
Description: partial 12S ribosomal RNA
Rfam family: Microsporidia small subunit ribosomal RNA (bases 167-584)
Source: RNAcentral